ACAAUUGAAUGCAAGUAGGUUGCAAGGUUGAUGGAAAGUAGAAAAGUUUCCUGACUUGCGUGAACAGAAAAGAAACAUCAAUUUGAAAGGAAACCAUUUAUUUAUUUACUUCCUCUACAGUUUUCCUGACUGCUACAUUUCAUAAGAAGGGAUUGUUUAUGAGGGUCAAGGAGCUGGAGGCCUGGGGAGGAGCUGGUGUUUCUGUUCAAGUUUGAGGGUCCUGGAGCUGGAGCCCAGGGGAGGAGCCAGUGCUGCCACUGAUGUCUUAGGGUCGUGGAGCUGAAGAUCCCAGAGGAGCCGGUGCUGCUAUUCUAGCUUGAGUUUCGUGGAGCUGGAGACCCAGGGAGAAGAUGGUGCUGCUGUUCUAAUUUAAGGAUCGUGAAACAGAAGACCCAGAAAGGAGCUGGUGCUGCCGCUGCUCAGAUCUGAGGGUGUUGGAGCUGGAGCCUGGGGGUGGAGCCAUUGCUGCCAUUGAAGUGUGAGAGUCAUUGAGCUGGAAGUCCAGGAAGCAGCUGGUGCUGCUGUUCUAGUUUGAGGGUUGUGGAGUGCAGACCCAGGCAGGAGCAACAUUGCUGUAGUUCGAGGGUCAGAAAGCUGGCGACCCAGGGAGGAGAGGUCUUGUUCUAGUUUGAUUUUCGUGGAGCUGCAGACCCAGGCAGGAGCAAUGUUGCUGUAGUUCGAGGGUCCGGUAGCUGGCAACCCGGGGAGGAGAAGUCUUGUUCGAGUUUGAGGGUCGUGGAGCUGCCGACCCAGGGAGGAGCAAUUUGGUUGUAAUUUGAGGGUCCAGAAGCUGGAGACCCAGGGAGGAGAGAGAUCUUGUUCUGGUCUGAGGGUUGUGGAGCCACAGACCCAGGGAGGAGCAAUUUUGUUGUAAUUUGAGGGUCAGGAAGCUGGCGACCCAGGGAGGAGAGGUCUUGUUCUAGUUUGAGGGUCGUGGAGCUGCCGACCCAGGGAGGAGCAAUUUUGUUGUAAUUCGAGGAUCAGGAAGCUGGCGACCCAGUGGAGGAGAGGUCUUGUUCUGGUCUGAGGGUCAUGGAGCUGCAGACCCAGGGAGGAGCAAUGUUGUUGUAAUUCGAGGGUGUGGUAGCUGGCAACCUGGGGAGGAGAAGUCUUGUUCGAGUUUGAGGCUCGUGGAGCUGCCGACCAGGGAGGAGCAAUUUUGUUGCAGUUCGAGGGUCAGGAAGCUGGCGACCCAGGGAGGAGAGGUCUUGUUCUAGUUUGAGGGUCGUGGAGCUGCAGACCCAUGGAGGAGCAAUUUUGUUGUAAUUCGAGGGUCUGGAAGCUGGAGACCCAGGGAGGAGAGGUCUUGUUCUAGUUUGAGGGUCGUGGAGCUGCCGAACCAGGGAGGAGCAAUGUUGUUGUAAUUGGAGGGUCCGGAAGCUGGCGACCCAGGGAGGAGAGGUCUUGUUCUGGUGUGAGGGUCGUGGAGCUGCAGACCCAGGGAGGAGCAAUUUUGUUGUAAUUCAAGGGUCCGGUAGCUGGCAACCCAGGGAAGAGAAGUGUUCUUGGAGUUUGAGGGUCGUGGAGCUGCCGACCCAGGGAGGAGCAAUUUGGUUCUAAUUCGAGGGUCAGGAAGCUGGCGACCCAGGUGAGGAGAGGUCUUCUUCUGGUAUGAGGGUCGUGGAGCUGCAGACCCAGGGAGGAGCAAUUUUGUUGUAAUUCAAGGGUCCGGUAGCUGGCAACCCGGGUAGGAGAAGUCUUGUUCGAGUUUGAGGGUCGUGGAUCUGCCGACCCAGGGAGGAGCAGUUUGGUUGUAAUUUGAGGGUCCGGAAGCUGGAGACCCAGGGAGGAGAGAGGUCUUGUUCUGGUCUGAGGGUCGUGGAGCUGCAGACCCAGGGAGGAGCAAUUUUGUUGUAAUUCAAGGGUCCAGUAGCUGGCAACCCAGGGAAGAGAAGUGUUGUUGGAGUUUGAGGGUCGUGGAGCUGCCGACCCAGGGAGGAGCAAUUUGGUUGUAAUUCGAGGGUCAGGAAGCUGGCGACCCAGGGGAGGAGAGGUCUUCUUCUGGUCUGAGGGUCGUGGAGCUGCAGACCCA
Molecule: long non-coding RNA, 2032 nt
Filed under: Homo sapiens (human)
Lineage: Eukaryota; Metazoa; Chordata; Mammalia; Primates; Hominidae
Description: HSALNT0401435
Source: RNAcentral